UACGUAGGGGGCAAGCGUUGUCCGGAAUUAUUGGGCGUAAAGCGCGUGUAGGCGGCCAGACAAGUCCGCUGUGAAAUCUCGAGGCUCAACCUCGAGACGUCGGUUGAAACCACCUGGCUAGAGUCCGGAAGAGGAGAGUGGAAUUUCCGGUGGAGCGGUGAAAUGCGUAGAGAUCGGAAAGAACACCAACGGCGAAAGCACUCUGCUGGGCCGACACUGACACUGAGAGACGAAAGCUAGGGGAGCAAAUGGG
This 253-nucleotide ribosomal RNA is filed under the name uncultured bacterium. Its description in RNAcentral is "partial 16S ribosomal RNA". It matches the Rfam family "Bacterial small subunit ribosomal RNA", at positions 524 to 776 of the family's 1533-position model. The record is from RNAcentral.